Molecule: non-coding RNA, 1820 nt
Organism: Paramormyrops kingsleyae
Lineage: Eukaryota; Metazoa; Chordata; Actinopteri; Osteoglossiformes; Mormyridae
Source: RefSeq, a predicted model, not a curated record
AAUCAGCGCAUUGCUUUUUAAAAUUAUUUUAAUGAAAUUACCUUUAUAAUUUCUUAAACGUUUCAAUUCAUUGAAUUGUUUUCCUUUAAGAUCACUGCAUAAUUAUGGGAGUACUUCACAUUAUCACAAAACAAAAAGGUGGUUUUACACUGUGCAGUGUGAUGCCAAACCACAGCGGCAUUAGCGCUGUGCAUGACCACCUGAAGAGGAACCACACAGGCGCUGUUCUGGAUGAUGGCCGGACCGCUAGAGUAGACGGAACCACCCUCAGUGCAGCCAAUUCAUGUUCAUUAAAUUAACAUUAAAACAGAGAGCUUUUUAAUAAACUGAAGUGGCCUCCAGGGAUGCUUUUCCAACUGUCCUGAAGGACGUCCCACAUAUGCUGAGCACUCAUUGGUCGCUGGUCAAACUCCUCCAAAACAAUUUCUGCUGUGUUUAGGUCAGGAGACCUGGUCAUGUGAUGUGACAGUAUCACCUUCCUUCGUAGGAGGCUUGGCGUGUCCAAACAUUUGACUAGUACUGUUCUUUGAAAAAGUGUUUUACAGUGUUUUCAAACUUUGCAGAGACAUUUUAUGGGUGACACUGGAAGUGAUCAUAUUUUGAGACAGAAUGCCCAAAAAUUGAUUUGGGACUGCAUAGUAAUUGCAAAAAUGGGGCAAUUUCAGACACUGAAUAACUCAAAAAAUAUUUGACAGAUCUUUUUCAACCAGUGCAGACACACUGUAAGGAUGACGAUGAGGACGUGGUCAAAUUUUGAGACAAAUUGCACCAAAAUUGGACUUGAUAUACCUGACACCUGAGCUCCAAAAUUUUUGUCCAUUAAAAGUGCAGGAGAAUAAAUUUGGACUUGUGCAGGUAGACUUGCUGGUCUUUACACAAGAGGAGUCUUUACACAAUAUUAGACAGCAAAGUUGAAGGCCAGGAGACAAAAAAGUUGUCUAUCUGGGAACUGAUGUUUACCUUUCUCUGCAGGCAUUCCUUGUAAGGCUGUAAAACAAGAGGAAGGUCCAUCCCCAGCAGACAAUCAUUCGAUGGCUGUAAACCACCAGGACGAUCCAUCCACAAAAGUGCCUCUGACGAAUUCAGAAAACACAGAAGGUAACACAAUCUCUUUUUACGCUGGAAUAGUGACCUGUUUUUUCAUUCCCGUACAUCUACUAUUAAUAUUUGUCUAGGAAAUAUAACAUGAGCUGAACAUGUUUUAAUUGGACAUUGUAAUAAAUAAGUACAUAAAUAAAGGGUCCUAGCUGGCAUGAUUUAGUUUCCAUGGUUACUCAUAUCACUGUUUAUAAUGGUUGAUCACAGCUGUCGAACUGACCCUUGUUAUUAGUAUUAUAACAACGUACUGUUGGAUUGAAGGAUAUUGGUAAAUGUUGUUGGUGCUUUGGCUAUAUGCACCGAGUAUUUGGGGAAGGAAGAUUCAUGGCUGUGAGGUCACCAGUUUAGCAGAGUGAUGGAAUGGUGGACUGCUGCAGUUCAUGUAAAAUGAUGUGGUCAGUGACUGCUGCAGUUCAUGUAAAAUGAUGUGGUCAGUGACUGCUGCAGUUCAUGUAAAAUAAGUGGUCAGUGACUGCUGCAGUUCAUGUAAAAUAAGUGGUCAGUGACUGCUGCAGCUCAUGUAAAAUAAGUGGUCAGUGACUGCUGCAGUUCAUGUAAAAUAAGUGGUCAGUGACUGCUGCAGCUCAUGUAAAAGAAGUGGUCAGUGACUGCUGCAGUUCAUGUAAAAUAAGAGGUCAGUGACUGCUGCAGUUCAUGUAAAAUGAUAAGUGGUCAGUGACUGCUGCAGUUCAUGUAAAAUGAUAAGUGGUCAGUGAUUUCUG